AUUGAACGCUGGCGGCAUGCUUUACACAUGCAAGUCGAACGGCAGCACGGACUUCGGUCUGGUGGCGAGUGGCGAAAGGGGGAGUAAUACAUCGGAACGUACCCAGUAAUGGGGGAUAACUAUCCGAAAGGAUAGCUAAUACCGCAUACGCACUACGGGGGACAGAGGGGGAUCGCAAGGCCUCUUGGUAUUGGACCUGCCGAUGGCGGAUUAGCUAGUUGGUAGGGUAAAGGCCUACCAAGGCAACGAUCAGUAGCGGGUCUUAGAGGACGAUCCUCCACACUGGAACUGAGACACGGUCCAGACUCCUACGGGAGGCAGCAGUGGGGAAUCUUGGACAAUGGGCGCAAGCCUGAUCCAGCAAUGCCGCGUGCGUGAAGAAGGCCUUCGGGUUGUAAAGCGCUUUUGUCAGGGAGCAAAUCCUUGUGGCUAAUACCCACCGGGGAUGAGAGUACCUGAAGAAUAAGGACCGGCUAACUACGUGCCAGCAGCCGCAGUAA
RNAcentral lists this ribosomal RNA (500 nucleotides) under uncultured bacterium. RNAcentral describes it as "partial 16S ribosomal RNA". It matches the Rfam family "Bacterial small subunit ribosomal RNA", at positions 30 to 523 of the family's 1533-position model. The record is from RNAcentral.